RNAcentral lists this unclassified non-coding RNA (271 nucleotides) under Hevea brasiliensis (rubber tree). Lineage: Eukaryota; Viridiplantae; Streptophyta; Magnoliopsida; Malpighiales; Euphorbiaceae. The record is from RNAcentral.
GGGUGGUAUCGACAUAUAAAUGAAUUAACUCUUAAAAAAAAGUAAUAGCCAAAACUUGAAAAUGAAUUAAUUUAAAAGCAUGCUCUAAAGGUAUUGUCAGUCGUUGAUCUGCCAACUGGAUUAAGCAAGCCAUUUGGUUCCAGCCAAAAACCAGCUCCCUCGUAGACCCUCCGAGUCACAUUCUAUUCUUGGGACAUAACUGCAGCAGGCAAGUCCAGCCAACAUACAUUCUUGUAGUCCACUGCUACAGCAAGCACAUCUAACAGACUCU